GCCCGGGUGGCGGAAUGGCAGACGCAGGGGACUUAAAAUCCCCAGCCCUUAACGGGGCGUGUGGGUUCGACUCCCUCCCCGGGUA
RNAcentral lists this transfer RNA (85 nucleotides) under Acidipila sp. RNAcentral describes it as "tRNA-Leu". It matches the Rfam family "tRNA". Rfam says of the family: Transfer RNA (tRNA) molecules are approximately 80 nucleotides in length. Their secondary structure includes four short double-helical elements and three loops (D, anti-codon, and T loops). Further hydrogen bonds mediate the characteristic L-shaped molecular structure. tRNAs have two regions of fundamental functional importance: the anti-codon, which is responsible for specific mRNA codon recognition, and the 3' end, to which the tRNAs corresponding amino acid is attached (by aminoacyl-tRNA synthetases). tRNAs cope with the degeneracy of the genetic code in two manners: having more than one tRNA (with a specific anti-codon) for a particular amino acid; and 'wobble' base-pairing, i.e. permitting non-standard base-pairing at the 3rd anti-codon position. Lineage: Bacteria; Pseudomonadati; Acidobacteriota; Terriglobia; Terriglobales; Acidobacteriaceae. The record is from RNAcentral.